GAUGAACGCUGGCGGCGUGCCUAAUACAUGCAAGUCGAGCGAACAGAUGAGGAGCUUGCUCCUCUGACGUUAGCGGCGGACGGGUGAGUAACACGUGGAUAACCUACCUAUAAGACUGGGAUAACUUCGGGAAACCGGAGCUAAUACCGGAUAAUAUAUUGAACCGCAUGGUUCAAUAGUGAAAGACGGUUUUGCUGUCACUUAUAGAUGGAUCCGCGCCGCAUUAGCUAGUUGGUAAGGUAACGGCUUACCAAGGCAACGAUGCGUAGCCGACCUGAGAGGGUGAUCGGCAACACUGGAACUGAGACACGGUCCAGACUCAUACGGGAGGAAGCAGUAGGGAAUCUUCCGCAAUGGGCGAAAGCCUGACGGAGCAACGCCGCGUGAGUGAUGAAGAUCUUCGGAUCGUAAAACUCUGUUAUUAGGGAAGAACAAAUGUGUAAGUAACUAUGCACGUCUUGACGGUACCUAAUCAGAAAGCCACGGCUAACUACGUG
Molecule: ribosomal RNA, 497 nt
Filed under: uncultured bacterium
Lineage: Bacteria
Description: partial 16S ribosomal RNA
Rfam family: Bacterial small subunit ribosomal RNA
Source: RNAcentral